CUGCUGUUUGUGUUUCACAAAUCAGUGACUGUCAUCCCUGCAAGCCCCACUCUGAAGGUUCCUGUACUUUCAGAAAGUACUACCCUUCGAUCAGGGACUUUUGGGGGGGGGGAGAAAUUAAGCCCCCAGAACUUAAUUUAGACCCUGCAGUCGAAACAGAACAAGUUCCUCAAAUUGUUCCUAGUUGCAGCGUUAGCAACACGCAGGAUGUCAGGCAAUUAUCCUGGAAAUGUACUUUCAUUGAUCCAGACUAGGCAUGGUGGGUCCUUGCAAAUACCAUUAGGAGUGCUAGAAGGAGCCAGAGGAACCAGAUUUUCACAGUUUAUCUGUCUCAUUUACUACUAUCAGGAUAUGUACAGUUUCAGCAAAUACAGUCUGACUCACCGGAUGUAGACUGUUGAUAUAAGCCUGCCAUUGCCUGACUAUUUCAGACAGCAUUCUCAUCCCCUUCCGCUAUCUUCACUAUCUAUUUUGCAAGGUAAAUCACUGCUGUGAACGCCUUGUCAAUUUUCAAGUCUGUUUCAUCUCUUCAGUCAGGAUCACUAAUGGGUGUGUCAGUUGUGAAUCAGAUUUGAAACAAGUGUGCUUUGUUGCACUUGUAACCACACCCAACAGUGAUGUCACACCAUCCUCUGGAUGUCAACAAAAUCAAGAUGUUCUGGAGGUGUUUUAUGUGUUGAUAAGGCUACUUCAUCAGUCAUGUGAUUAUCUUUAAAUACAAUAAAUACACCCUCUGAGUGUCCAAAAUAGCAUUUUGCCAGUAGACCAGAGUACUGGCCCCUUGUGUAUUUUUACUGGCCCUUAAAAAUAGGGAGAAAAGAACACUUCCAAAUUGUUAAUGUCUUAAUCGUAUAUACAUUGUAAUGAUUAAUCCAAAUAACAAACAAAAUAACUUUGUUGGGGAAACUAAAUUAGUUAACUGCAGCUUCACAAGGUAAUCAAAAUCUUUCUAUCAUACACACAGUACACUGUAUUGGUUUGUAAGUUGAAAGUUUCUUCCUGUCAGAUGUACUGUAAGAAGAACUUAGAAGAAUGUAAUUUUAAUUGAAUCUGAGCACUACAUGUUAACAAGGCUGCUAGUUGAGAUUAUUAGAAUUCUUCUGUUUGAACGCUAAAUGUUUUAGGAAGCUCAGUAACGAAAGCUCUACCUCGUCUGAAUUGUCAAAGUCCAGUUCGGAGGCAAUUUCUCUACUGUACGCAACCCGACACUCCUUUCAGAUUGUUGAUUAUUAAUUGAAUAUUCCCGAAUAGUUGAUUUACGUCUGAUAUUCUAAUCACUCCAUACAUGUUCUACUGUACUGCACUGUAGGAGCCUCCAAUCUGAAUGUUCGGAUGCACUCACUUUAUUUCUCAUCUCUAUCAGAGAUUUAUGACUCAAGUAUAAAAAAUUGCAUUUUACACAAAUCAAAUUAAUCUGUGUGCACUACUGUCAUACCUGGGACAUACUAGAUAUUUGUUUUGUGUUUUGCUUUUAUUCUAGCAGUCUUUUUGUCUUUGGUUAAAAAGCUAUUUUGUUUUGUGCUGUGAGGUGUUGAGCAUGUGUGACUUAAAUAAACUCCAACCUUAUUUAAUGUAUAUCCAAUCAGAGAAGUCUGUGGUGAACAUCGCAGAACACUUGUUUGUUUGUUUGUUUUUGGCAUCAUAUUCUUGCAGCAUGAUCCAAGAGGAUUUUGUUUUGAUCCAGACACUGAAUUUGAUUGAUUUCUUAGUUUUAAGGUUUCUGUUUCAUUCUCACAUAAUUUUUCAAAUAACCUGUCAAUACUUCACAACAUAUCAGAUUCCACCAAAUAUAUGCCUUACUACUGUAUUAUAAAAUGCUUUACUGUAUAUCAAUAAAGCACGCAGUUAUGUUGAUUUAG
Molecule: long non-coding RNA, 1859 nt
Organism: Sander lucioperca (pikeperch)
Lineage: Eukaryota; Metazoa; Chordata; Actinopteri; Perciformes; Percidae
Exons: 2
Source: RefSeq, a predicted model, not a curated record